AUGUGGAUGAGUACUUAAUGGAUACUUCCAUGACUGGUCAAGACCACAAAUGAAAGCCGUUUGUCAGGGCUGGCUAGAUGUCCUGGACCUGACCUGAAUGGCCACCACAGUAAAGGUGAUGUGUAGACAGAGAAUGGGAAAACUGAGUGUGGAAGACAUCCAAAGAGCCCAGCUAUCCAUUCUGUAUUCGUUGGACGGAGAACUGAUAAGGGCAUGUGUCUGACACUUUCCGCCGAUGAUAGAGAGAGCUGUACUACAAAGAAAAACUCUCCUGUCCAGCAGCAGCAUUACUACCUGUAUCCUUAACUGGGUCAUUAGGGUAACUGGAGUUAUAUCUACUCCAGUCUCAAUAUGUUACAACCUAUUCAUAACACUUGUUUGCUUCUUUUUCACAGAAAACAAUUUGAAUUUUUUUCUCAGAAAACCCAUGGAAUCAAUCCUCUGAAUGCAUGUAUUUUUUGUAUCCCUUCAGGUUGCUAUUGUAUGCAAAACAUUUGGUGACUCAUACUAGCAUUCAUAGCAACUUCAUUCUGUAUAGAGGUCAAUCUUCUAUUAUUAUUAUGUAUGAGCAAUGAGUAUAUGAUCACAUAUGAAUUGUACGCUUUACAAAAACACAAUUUUUUAAUAAUUUGCUCAGUCAAAAAACAGAUUGUGCAUCUGUUUGAUAUUCUGAUGUAAUUCAGAAGGCUGAAUUCAACCUGGUGAAUCCAGGCUGGAUCCAGAGUAGAACCCCUCUACACAGCAACAGGUUGGAGACAACAUGGGCCACUAAUUAAACAUUCACUGCAUGAGUUGACUGCCUACUACAGACUGUACUGAGCUGGAGUUGGGACCUGUGAGAGUGAGCAUUCCUGAAACUGUGGUGGCAGGCAUAAUUACAGAGCAGCAGCACUCAGACAGUCAGGUUUGGCCAACAUUUAAGGCCCCAGGGCAAAAUCCAAAGCACACUUCAAAUCAUGGUGUCUAAUAUAUUGAUGUAAUAUUUAAAUGAUGCAUGAGCACCAUGAUGACCAAACUCAUUAAUAAAAUAUGAGAUGUUAUGUGGUUUUCAGGUAAACAAGUAGAAAACGUGAGAAAUACUGACAACAAUUAUGAUGAAAAUAAAAAGCUAAUUGCUGUU
Molecule: long non-coding RNA, 1120 nt
Organism: Oncorhynchus tshawytscha (Chinook salmon)
Lineage: Eukaryota; Metazoa; Chordata; Actinopteri; Salmoniformes; Salmonidae
Exons: 3
Source: RefSeq, a predicted model, not a curated record